AUUGAACGCUGGCGGCAUGCCUUACACAUGCAAGUCGAACGGCAGCAUGAUCUAGCUUGCUAGAUUGAUGGCGAGUGGCGAACGGGUGAGUAAUACAUCGGAACGUGCCCUGUUGUGGGGGACAACUAGUCGAAAGAUUAGCUAAUACCGCAUACGACCUGAGGGUGAAAGUGGGGGACCGCAAGGCCUCAUGCUAUAGUAGCGGCCGAUGUCUGAUUAGCUAGUUGGUGAGGUAAAGGCUCACCAAGGCGACGAUCAGUAGCUGGUCUGAGAGGACGAGCCGCCACACUGGGACUGAGACACGGCCCAGACUCCUACGGGAGGCAGCAGUGGGGAAUUUUAGACAAUGGGCGAAAGCCUGGUCCAGCAAUGCCGCGUGUGUGAAGAAGGCCUUCGGGUUGUAAAGCACUUUUGUCCGGAAAGAAAUGGCUCUGGUUAAUACCUGGGGUCGAUGACGGUACCGGAAGAAUAAGGACCGGCUAACUACGUG
RNAcentral lists this ribosomal RNA (490 nucleotides) under uncultured bacterium. Its description in RNAcentral is "partial 16S ribosomal RNA". It matches the Rfam family "Bacterial small subunit ribosomal RNA", at positions 30 to 507 of the family's 1533-position model. The record is from RNAcentral.